UGUUAUUGGUUUCUCCUUUCUGAGGAGCCAUGAUGUCAUUAAUUUGGUGUCGUGGGGAAUCAGGACUGUUACUUUGAAAAAAUUAGAGUGUUUAAAGCAGGCACGCGCUUGAAUACAUUAGCAUGGAAUAAUGAAAUAGGACGUUCGAUUCUAUUUUGUUGGUUUCUAGGAUCAGCGUAAUGAUUAAUAGGGAUAGUUGGGGGCAUUAGUAUUCAAUUGUCAGAGGUGAAAUUCUUGGAUUUAUUGAAGACUAACUACUGCGAAAGCAUUUGCCAAGGAUGUUUUCAUUAAUCAAGAACGAAAGUUAGGGGAUCGAAGACGAUCAGAUACCGUCGUAGUCUUAACCAUAAACUAUGCCGACUAGGGAUCGGAUGAUGUUAAUUUUUUAAUGACUCAUUCGGGC
This 403-nucleotide ribosomal RNA is filed under the name uncultured Glomeromycotina. Its description in RNAcentral is "SSU rRNA". It matches the Rfam family "Eukaryotic small subunit ribosomal RNA", at positions 684 to 1085 of the family's 1831-position model. Lineage: Eukaryota; Fungi; Glomeromycota. The record is from RNAcentral.